AACGAACGCUGGCGGCAUGCCUAACACAUGCAAGUCGAACGAGACCUUCGGGUCUAGUGGCGCACGGGUGCGUAACGCGUGGGAACCUGCCCUUAGGUUCGGAAUAACUCCCCGAAAGGGGUGCUAAUACCGGAUAAUGUCUUCGGACCAAAGAUUUGUCGCCUUUGGAUGGGCCCGCGUUGGAUUAGCUAGUUGGUAGGGUAAAAGCCUACCAAGGCGACGAUCCAUAGCUGGUCUGAGAGGAUGAUCAGCCACACUGGGACUGAGACACGGCCCAGACUCCUACGGGAAGCAGCAGUGGGGAAUAUUGGACAAUGGGCGAAAGCCUGAUCCAGCAAUGCCGCGUGAGUGAUGAAGGCCUUAGGGUUGUAAAGCUCUUUUACCCGGGAUGAUAAUGACAGUACCGGGAGAAUAAGCUCCGGCUAACUCCGUG
RNAcentral lists this ribosomal RNA (433 nucleotides) under uncultured bacterium. RNAcentral's name for it is "partial 16S ribosomal RNA". It matches the Rfam family "Bacterial small subunit ribosomal RNA", at positions 29 to 507 of the family's 1533-position model. The record is from RNAcentral.